Molecule: ribosomal RNA, 468 nt
Filed under: uncultured bacterium
Lineage: Bacteria
Description: partial 16S ribosomal RNA
Rfam family: Bacterial small subunit ribosomal RNA
Source: RNAcentral
GACGAACGCUGGCGGCGUGCUUAACACAUGCAAGUCGAACGGAAAGGCCCUGCUUUCGUGGGGUGCUCGAGUGGCGAAGGGGUGAGUAACACGAGUGUAACCUGCCCUUGUCUUUGGGAUAACUUCAGGAAACUGGGGCUAAUCCCGGAUAGGAGCUCCUGCUGCGUGGUGGGGGUUGGAAAGUUUCGGCGGUUGGGGAUGGACUCGCGGCUUAUCAGCUUGUUGGUGGGGUAGUGGCUGACCAAGGAUUUGACGGGUAGCCGGCCUGAGAGGGUGACCGGCCACAUUGGGACUGAGAUACGGCCCAGACUCCUACGGGAGGCAGCAGUGGGGAAUAUUGCACAAUGGGCGGAAGCCUGAUGCAGCAACGCCGCGUGCGGGAUGACGGCCUUCGGGUUGUAAACCGCUGUCGCCUGUGACGAAGCGUGAGUGACGGUAAUGGGUAAAGAAGCACCGGCUAACUACGUG